This 585-nucleotide unclassified non-coding RNA is filed under the name Hevea brasiliensis (rubber tree). Lineage: Eukaryota; Viridiplantae; Streptophyta; Magnoliopsida; Malpighiales; Euphorbiaceae. The record is from RNAcentral.
UAGUUUCUGGGAAAUAUCAACACUGUUAGUUGUGAUAGCUCAUCAUUAACAUGGUAAGAUUAACUAUCAAUAAUGAUAAAGAAAUGUAGAAAAUAAGUCAGACAAAGCUGAUUUGGGCAGUGUAUUUGUAGGGAAAUGACAUCCCAACAAUAACAAAAGGAAUCCUUAUUUGUUUUCACCAAUUUGGAGGAACAAUAAUCUAUAAUCGGUGCUGAAUAAAUAACAUUAUAUCGUAGGAAGGUAAUAGGAUCAGCAUUCCCCGCUAAGAGAAGAAAAAUCAUAGACGAUAUCCUGUCAGUCAAAAAUGCUAAACUCCAUCGACUUAAUUAAAUGCUUAACAUUUAAUGAAGACGCAAUAGUAAUAAUAAAUCAUUAGGUGAUAUCUAAAAGAUAAUAACCAAAUUCACGAGACCACGACUGCCACUGAAAAUUGACAAUCAAGAACAUUAAGAUUAAGCCUGAUUAGUAAAUGGAAACCCUGGGGGUGAAAAAAGGAUAGAAGUAGAGAAAAAGCGAGAGAGAAUGACCUCUUCAACGGCCUUCUCUCUCAGUCGCUCAGAUAACCUCAAUGCCUUGAUCUCAGCU